RNAcentral lists this ribosomal RNA (497 nucleotides) under uncultured bacterium. Its description in RNAcentral is "partial 16S ribosomal RNA". It matches the Rfam family "Bacterial small subunit ribosomal RNA", at positions 28 to 507 of the family's 1533-position model. The record is from RNAcentral.
GAUGAACGCUGGCGGCGUGCCUAAUACAUGCAAGUCGAGCGCAUAGAGGAAGGUCCUUCCCCUUUUCCAGUGGGUGCCGACCGGGUGAUUACCACGUGGUCACCCUCCCUCAAGACUGGGAUUACUAUUUGAAAACAGAUCCUAUUCCCGAAUAUAUCUUAAUCUCGCAUGACACAUAGUUAAAAGGCGCUUUGGCGUCACCUAGAGAUGGAUCCGCGCCGCAUUAGUUAGUUGGUGAGGUAACGGCCUACCAAGGCAAUGAUGCGUAGCCGACCUGAGAGAGUGAUCGGCCACACUGGAACUGAGACACGGCCCAAACUCCUACGGGAGGCAGCAGUAGGGAAUCUUCCGCAAUGGGCGAAAGCCUGACGGAGCAACGCCGCGUGAGUGAUGAAGGCCUUCGGAUCGUAAAGCACUGUUAUAAGGGAAGAACAGAUGUAAAAGUAAAUGAGCACAUUUUGACGGUACCAAACCAGAAAGCCACGGCUAAAUACGUG